Molecule: ribosomal RNA, 330 nt
Filed under: uncultured eukaryote
Lineage: Eukaryota
Description: partial 18S ribosomal RNA
Rfam family: Eukaryotic small subunit ribosomal RNA
Source: RNAcentral
CCCUUAGAUGUCCUGGGCCGCACGCGCGCUACACUGAUGCAUUCAACGAGUCUAAAACCUGCUCUGAUAGGGGUGGGUAAUCUUUUGAAUGUGCAUCGUGAUUGGGAUAGAUGAUUGCAAUUUUUCAUCUUCAACGAGGAAUGCCUAGUAAACGCAAGUCAUCAGCUUGCAUUGAUUACGUCCCUGCCCUUUGUACACACCGCCCGUCGCUCCUACCGAUUGAAUGAUCCGAUGAAUAUCAUAGACUGAGAGUAUAAGCAGGUUCGCCUGUCUUUGCUUCUCGGGAAGUGAAGUAAAUCUUAUCAUUUAGAGGAAGGAGAAGUCGUAACA